ACGCAUUGUUCAGAUAUUUGCAGAAGUUACAUCUCUAGAACGGGCUCUGCCGCAUCGACUAGGAGUGGCAGUGCAUCGUCUUCAUGCACUGCGACGCCACAAUGAGCUUGGAGGAAAAUCGGUGCACAGAACCCUUCGUGGAAUUCUCCUAUUCUAGUUGAGUCAUUGAAGAUCUUGCUGACGGCUUCAACCGAAUAGAUACAAACCCGAG
This 211-nucleotide long non-coding RNA is filed under the name Hordeum vulgare. RNAcentral describes it as "long non-coding RNA (HVUL_LNC015844)". Lineage: Eukaryota; Viridiplantae; Streptophyta; Magnoliopsida; Poales; Poaceae. The record is from RNAcentral.